Molecule: RNA transcript, 1125 nt
Organism: Capsicum annuum
Lineage: Eukaryota; Viridiplantae; Streptophyta; Magnoliopsida; Solanales; Solanaceae
Gene name: calpain-type cysteine protease DEK1-like
Exons: 3
Source: RefSeq, a predicted model, not a curated record
UUGUUGUUUUGUUGUAAACAGACAAACGAUGGAAUUUUUUGGAUGUCUUGGAAGGAUUUCCAAAUACAUUUUAGGUCUAUAUAUGUUUGUCGUGUCUACCCACCAGAGAUGCGCUACUCAAUCCAUGGUCAAUGGAGAGGCUACAGCGUUGGAGACUGCCAGGAUUAUGACACAUGGCAUCAGAAUCCCCAAUAUCAACUAAGAGCAAGUGAUCCUGAUGCUUCCUUGCCCAUUCAUGUAUUUAUCACCUUAACUCAGGGUGUGAGCUUCUCAAGGACUACAGCUGGUUUCAGGAAUUAUCAAUCAAGCCAUGAUUCAAUGAUGUUCUAUAUUGGGAUGAGGAUACUGAAAAAUCGUGGUAGGCGUGCUGCAUAUAACAUCUAUUUGCAUGAAUCUGUUGGUGGGACAGACUAUGUGAAUUCUCGAGAGAUAUCAUGUGAGAUGGUCCUAGAUCCUGAUCCGAAGGGUUACACAAUAGUGCCUACUACAAUACAUCCUGGUAAAGGGGCGCCUUUUGUUCUCUCUGUUUUUAAUAAAGCUUCGAUAAGUCUUGAAACUUUAUAAUUUUGCAUUGAUGGCCCAUUUGGUUUGGGUUUGAGUUUGAUCAUCACUUGUGGCUCCUAGGCAUCUCCCCAAAAGGAUUCUGCACGGACUAUCCCCAAUCAUUCACACGUGUCUGAGAGCUGGUUGAACGUUGCAGUAAAAAAGCUCGGCAUAGAAAGAGGAAAAAGGAUGGUCUGUCCUUUGCGAAUGGAUGAAGCAAGCUGUCUUAUUCUGGAAAGUCCAUGGUUGCUAAAUGUCAUUUCUGCAUGGGUGUUGGAAGUCUCUAAAGCCAAUAGAAGGAAGAUGGUCCAUUGAUUCAGUCUUCAGCUCUUAACAUGGUCUUGAAGAGGGUUCUCAGGGAUUAGAAUACUGUACAUGAGUAGAUGUAAGAGAUUUAGUUAUGUAAAUGAGGGUUAACAAAAAGGAAUAGAUGAAAAAAAAAAUAGGAGUAGAUGUGAGGGAUGCGCUACUGGAUGCAUGUUGGAGUCCACCAUAUGGCUGAAAUAUCAAUUGAAGUUUCAGCAUCAGUUUUGAAGUACUUGUAGACAUCACUUCAUUAAUUGUAAAAACCAAACAUUCUUA